RNAcentral lists this ribosomal RNA (796 nucleotides) under Dialonectria magnusiana. RNAcentral's name for it is "partial 28S ribosomal RNA". It matches the Rfam family "Eukaryotic large subunit ribosomal RNA", at positions 99 to 927 of the family's 3401-position model. The record is from RNAcentral. Lineage: Eukaryota; Fungi; Ascomycota; Sordariomycetes; Hypocreales; Nectriaceae.
CGGCAACAGCUCAAAUUUGAAAUCUGGCCCUUGGGUCCGAAUUGUAAUUUGUAGAGGAUGCUUUUGGUGCGGUGCCUUCCGAGUUCCCUGGAACGGGACGCCAUAGAGGGUGAGAGCCCCGUCUGGUUGGACGCCAAUCCUCUGUAAAGCUCCUUCGACGAGUCGAGUAGUUUGGGAAUGCUGCUCUAAAUGGGAGGUAUAUGUCUUCUAAAGCUAAAUACCGGCCAGAGACCGAUAGCGCACAAGUAGAGUGAUCGAAAGAUGAAAAGCACUUUGAAAAGAGGGUUAAAUAGUACGUGAAAUUGUUGAAAGGGAAGCGCUUGUGACCAGACUUGAGCCCGGUUAAUCAUCCAGCCUUCUGGCUGGUGCACUUGGCCGGCUCAGGCCAGCAUCAGUUCGGCGCGGGGGAUAAAGACUUCGGGAAUGUGGCUCCCCCGGGAGUGUUAUAGCCCGUUGUGCAAUACCCUGUGCUGGACUGAGGUUCGCGCAUCUGCAAGGAUGCUGGCGUAAUGGUCAUCAGCGACCCGUCUUGAAACACGGACCAAGGAGUCGUCUUCGUAUGCGAGUGUUCGGGUGUCAAACCCCUACGCGUAAUGAAAGUGAACGCAGGUGAGAGCUUCGGCGCAUCAUCGACCGAUCCUGAUGUUCUCGGAUGGAUUUGAGUAAGAGCAUACGGAGCCGGACCCGAAAGAAGGUGAACUAUGCCUGUAUAGGGUGAAGCCAGAGGAAACUCUGGUGGAGGCUCGCAGCGGUUCUGACGUGCAAAUCGAUCGUCAAAUAUGGGCAUGGGGGCGAA